This 2131-nucleotide ribosomal RNA is filed under the name Escherichia coli. RNAcentral's name for it is "partial 23S ribosomal RNA". It matches the Rfam family "Bacterial large subunit ribosomal RNA", at positions 1 to 2157 of the family's 2925-position model. Lineage: Bacteria; Pseudomonadati; Pseudomonadota; Gammaproteobacteria; Enterobacterales; Enterobacteriaceae. The record is from RNAcentral.
GGUUAAGCGACUAAGCGUACACGGUGGAUGCCCUGGCAGUCAGAGGCGAUGAAGGACGUGCUAAUCUGCGAUAAGCGUCGGUAAGGUGAUAUGAACCGUUAUAACCGGCGAUUUCCGAAUGGGGAAACCCAGUGUGAUUCGUCACACUAUCAUUAACUGAAUCCAUAGGUUAAUGAGGCGAACCGGGGGAACUGAAACAUCUAAGUACCCCGAGGAAAAGAAAUCAACCGAGAUUCCCCCAGUAGCGGCGAGCGAACGGGGAGCAGCCCAGAGCCUGAAUCAGUGUGUGUGUUAGUGGAAGCGUCUGGAAAGGCGCGCGAUACAGGGUGACAGCCCCGUACACAAAAAUGCACAUGCUGUGAGCUCGAUGAGUAGGGCGGGACACGUGGUAUCCUGUCUGAAUAUGGGGGGACCAUCCUCCAAGGCUAAAUACUCCUGACUGACCGAUAGUGAACCAGUACCGUGAGGGAAAGGCGAAAAGAACCCCGGCGAGGGGAGUGAAAAAGAACCUGAAACCGUGUACGUACAAGCAGUGGGAGCACGCUUAGGCGUGUGACUGCGUACCUUUUGUAUAAUGGGUCAGCGACUUAUAUUCUGUAGCAAGGUUAACCGAAUAGGGGAGCCGAAGGGAAACCGAGUCUUAACUGGGCGUUAAGUUGCAGGGUAUAGACCCGAAACCCGGUGAUCUAGCCAUGGGCAGGUUGAAGGUUGGGUAACACUAACUGGAGGACCGAACCGACUAAUGUUGAAAAAUUAGCGGAUGACUUGUGGCUGGGGGUGAAAGGCCAAUCAAACCGGGAGAUAGCUGGUUCUCCCCGAAAGCUAUUUAGGUAGCGCCUCGUGAAUUCAUCUCCGGGGGUAGAGCACUGUUUCGGCAAGGGGGUCAUCCCGACUUACCAACCCGAUGCAAACUGCGAAUACCGGAGAAUGUUAUCACGGGAGACACACGGCGGGUGCUAACGUCCGUCGUGAAGAGGGAAACAACCCAGACCGCCAGCUAAGGUCCCAAAGUCAUGGUUAAGUGGGAAACGAUGUGGGAAGGCCCAGACAGCCAGGAUGUUGGCUUAGAAGCAGCCAUCAUUUAAAGAAAGCGUAAUAGCUCACUGGUCGAGUCGGCCUGCGCGGAAGAUGUAACGGGGCUAAACCAUGCACCGAAGCUGCGGCAGCGACGCUUAUGCGUUGUUGGGUAGGGGAGCGUUCUGUAAGCCUGUGAAGGUGUGCUGUGAGGCAUGCUGGAGGUAUCAGAAGUGCGAAUGCUGACAUAAGUAACGAUAAAGCGGGUGAAAAGCCCGCUCGCCGGAAGACCAAGGGUUCCUGUCCAACGUUAAUCGGGGCAGGGUGAGUCGACCCCUAAGGCGAGGCCGAAAGGCGUAGUCGAUGGGAAACAGGUUAAUAUUCCUGUACUUGGUGUUACUGCGAAGGGGGGACGGAGAAGGCUAUGUUGGCCGGGCGACGGUUGUCCCGGUUUAAGCGUGUAGGCUGGUUUUCCAGGCAAAUCCGGAAAAUCAAGGCUGAGGCGUGAUGACGAGGCACUACGGUGCUGAAGCAACAAAUGCCCUGCUUCCAGGAAAAGCCUCUAAGCAUCAGGUAACAUCAAAUCGUACCCCAAACCGACACAGGUGGUCAGGUAGAGAAUACCAAGGCGCUUGAGAGAACUCGGGUGAAGGAACUAGGCAAAAUGGUGCCGUAACUUCGGGAGAAGGCACGCUGAUAUGUAGGUGAAGUCCCUCGCGGAUGGAGCUGAAAUCAGUCGAAGAUACCAGCUGGCUGCAACUGUUUAUUAAAAACACAGCACUGUGCAAACACGAAAGUGGACGUAUACGGUGUGACGCCUGCCCGGUGCCGGAAGGUUAAUUGAUGGGGUUAGCGCAAGCGAAGCUCUUGAUCGAAGCCCCGGUAAACGGCGGCCGUAACUAUAACGGUCCUAAGGUAGCGAAAUUCCUUGUCGGGUAAGUUCCGACCUGCACGAAUGGCGUAAUGAUGGCCAGGCUGUCUCCACCCGAGACUCAGUGAAAUUGAACUCGCUGUGAAGAUGCAGUGUACCCGCGGCAAGACGGAAAGACCCCGUGAACCUUUACUAUAGCUUGACACUGAACAUUGAGCCUUGAUGUGUAGGAUAGGUGGGAGGCUU